RNAcentral lists this ribosomal RNA (253 nucleotides) under uncultured bacterium. Its description in RNAcentral is "partial 16S ribosomal RNA". It matches the Rfam family "Bacterial small subunit ribosomal RNA", at positions 524 to 776 of the family's 1533-position model. The record is from RNAcentral.
UACAGAGGUCCCAAGCGUUGUUCGGAUUCACUGGGCGUAAAGGGUGCGUAGGCGGUCGGGUAAGUCUGACGUGAAAUCUUCAAGCUUAACUUGGAAACUGCGUCGGAUACUAUUCGGCUAGAGGAAUGGAGGGGAGACUGGAAUACUUGGUGUAGCAGUGAAAUGCGUAGAUAUCAAGUGGAACACCAGUGGCGAAGGCGAGUCUCUGGACAUUUCCUGACGCUGAGGCACGAAAGCGUGGGGAGCAAACAGG